RNAcentral lists this ribosomal RNA (253 nucleotides) under uncultured bacterium. RNAcentral's name for it is "partial 16S ribosomal RNA". It matches the Rfam family "Bacterial small subunit ribosomal RNA", at positions 524 to 776 of the family's 1533-position model. The record is from RNAcentral.
UACGUAGGGGGCAAGCGUUGUCCGGAUUCAUUGGGCGUAAAGAGCGUGUAGGCGGCCAGGUAGGUCGGUUGUGAAAACUGGAGGCUCAACCUUCAGAGGUCGACCGAAACCAUCUGGCUAGAGUCCGGAAGAGGAGAAUGGAAUUCCCGGUGUAGCGGUGAAAUGCGCAGAUAUCGGGAAGAACACCCGUGGCGAAGGCGGUUCUCUGGGACGGUACUGACGCUGAGACGCGAAAGCGUGGGGAGCGAACAGG